This is a long non-coding RNA of Rhagoletis zephyria (snowberry fruit fly), 523 nucleotides long. RefSeq lists it as uncharacterized. The record is from RefSeq and is a predicted model, not a curated record. Lineage: Eukaryota; Metazoa; Arthropoda; Insecta; Diptera; Tephritidae.
CUUAGACGGUCCCAAGCCCGGUUUGAGAAAACAGGAGGGAAGACAGGGGGCUUUGGUAUUUCCAGGGUACGGGCUUGACAACCCCGUCUACCCCAGUUAAAGGCUACCAGUCCUGAGUCGGUGGAGGUUCAACUGGAAGAAGUCUACGGCUUUCGAGAGUCAUACCAAAGACUUUAAAAAUGGUGCCACGGGGAACAGAUGCCCCCGGAGUGUUUUCGUCGGCGAGACGAGCAAAACUGGUGACACAAACAAGGCUUGCAAGGCAGGCAAGGCAAACACUGGCAUGGCUUACACGACUAGAAAAUGGAGAAAAUGGUGAAAAUGGAGAUAAUGGAGAAAACAGUUGUAAUUGGAGGAAAAGUGUGGUGGAAACCGCUGGAAAUGGUGAAAAAGUUGUGCGCAAGUUGAGCAAUUCGAUCCGUUGCGAAAGCUGAGCCGUGUCACCGCUCCUGGAUGUGGAGGGUGCCCACGAGCGAGGCGAGUAGGACGUGUGAGAUGAGCAAGACGGAGCAAGAUGGUGAAU